AACAGCAGCGACAGAUCAACAACAGAACCAGGAUUCGUACAUUAUCAGAUAUUCACGCAACAUUACCUUAUCAGAGAGCACGCGAUCAGUCCAGAGGAUUAAUAUCCAAAAAGGGUGUAAACCUGGUGUAAACAGUAAAUACAUGCUGAAAUUAUUGUUGCGUGGCUACAUAAACGUUUAAGCAUAUGUGAUGCAUUGCCGCGAUUGGUCUGACUGGCGCGUGAGAGAGACGAGGGUGCAUGCGUGUGCACAUGCAUCUGCAAGAACCGACAGAUGGAUGACAGGUGAGUAGUCAUCAGACUGCUUACAGUGGAGAGAGGAACGUGAUUUCGCUCCACUCCAGGCUUGAUCACAUCCCACUUAAAAAGCUGCCUGUUGAGUUUUGUGCCCAUACGCUGCAGGAAUGGGCACCGGGCGUCUGUAUCCACGGCCCCAGUCACCCUCUCCUCUGCACCGAGCGCUGAGAGUCCAGCAAGAUGGUCAGAAGGGGGCGUCAUGGUAACACAGAGUGUAUGGCUGGACCAGAUUAUUUGAUUAUUUGAAUAUUCGUACGAAAGCCCCUCGGCCAGAGAAUCCUAUUCAACAUCAUUCCCUGCUUGCGGUGCCUGGAAAUUGACUGGCCUGAGCAGUGCAGGGCAGUUUCACAACAGACACUGGGUGACUCCACCCUGACGGCUCACUCCUCUCCAUGAUGCAAACAUUUUGGCUCUAAAGGAGUUGGUAUGGUGAUUCAUGGAUGGAUAAAGGAAAAAAAAUGAAGAAAUUCAAAACUGAUGGAGAACAAUCAGCUAGAUCAGGGGUGGGCAUUACUGGUCCUGCAAAGUUUAGCUCUAACCCUAAUCAAAGGCUGUUUCUCAAUAUGCGUUCUUCAGCGAUCUUGCGUCCUUGUGUCCUCGCUCUACGUCAUCAUUAACAGUCGAAGUUCAAUUCCAAUUCUCAAGAACGCAAGUACAGAGGACGCAUGAAAAUACCUGGAUGAGUUCUUGAUAUCGAGGAUGCAUCGAGUGCAGACUUGCGCGCUGAAAUCCGGGGAGGUCACGUGACCAGCAGGAAGAUCGCACACAUCUCAAUUCUCACAAGUGCGUUCUGUGUUCUCGCGACCUUCUGAGUUCGUUCUUCCGAGGUCGCCUGGCAAGACCAGUCUCCACGAGAACACAAGUCCGUUCUUUGCGUUCUUGGAAUUGAGAAACAGCCAAAGGCUGCAGGAUGACUUGGAAAUGACAUUCAGGUGUGUUCGAUCAGGCUUGGAGCUAAAGUUUGCAGGACAGUGGCUCUCCAGGACCAGGAAUGCCCACCCAUGAGCUAGAUGCAUGCUGUAAUUAUAUGGAGCUUUUCUAUCCACUUGUUAAGUCAUGACAUAAGGAAUACUUCUUCCAGGUCCACUCAUUUCAAUAGUUAUAUUGUAUAUUAAAUAUUACACAUUUAAGUGAAAAUUGCAUAAAUUCACAAUGUAAUGUACACUGCAGUCUCGAGGCUUACGGAAUUACCAACAGCAAUAUAUUAAUAAAUAAUAAAUAAUCAACAUCCACGAGUCAAUGUCUGACCAUCUUGGAUUUUGUUAUGGAAAAAAAUUGUGAUUGGUUGUUUUAGGUAGUUUUGCUCAAGCUCUCUGAUGAUAAACAGUCCUAAAAUGAUAGCAAAAGAGUUAAAGCUGCUUAAUGUUAUGAAGCUUAUGCUUGUACAGGAUGUGUUAUUCAAAUACUUAUUUGCAGCUGUAUCAUACCAAUAAAUAGUUAAAAAAUCAUACAUUGUGAUUUCUGGAUUUAUUUUGGAUUAUGUCUCUCAAAGUGGACAUGCACCUGCGAUGACGAUUUCAGACCCCUCUAUAAUUUCUAAGUGGGAGAACUUGCAAAAUAGCAGGGUGUUCAAAUACUUAUUUUCCUCACUGUAUAUGACAUGAGGUUAUGCGAGUUCCUGUGAUCACUUUGUUUAUAGUCUGUAACAGACCCAAAAUCAUCUCUGCUGCAUAGUUGCAUUUUUUUCCAGUUGCAUUUCAUCUGUUACUGUAGUUAAUGUAGUGAUGUCUUUUAUUUCUUGGGCUAUGGCAUUUCUGCGCAGUGCCGGAGAUGUUAGUAUGUCUUUAAUAAGAUCAGUCACAAACAUGAUUCCUGCACGAUCUAAUGUGUUGCGUAAUAUAAACUUACUGUCAUGCAUUUUGUGCAACACUUUUUGUCUCCCUCUUUGCGUUUUGUCCACUUUCCCUGUUGCUAACGAAACUCUUAAGCCUCUUAAAAGUCCUCAUCGAUAUUCCUAACAAUUUUGGGCCUUAAGACCUCUUUUAAAGAAAAGAUGCUUUCUGAAUUACUCAUUUCUUCUUUUCUUUAAUUCUAAGGGGAAAGAAUUUUCUUAGAAUUUUGUCACUAGGAGCAAAUCUUUGCCGAUUUUUCAUGAAUACGGGCUCUGGUUUUACUUAAAAAACAUUUUAGAGAUAUGAGAGGUCUCACAGACACACAUCAGUUCAACAUACCACAUAAUUCAAAUCCACAGCUAGAAACAUUCAUCUGCAGUAAGAACAUUAGAUCGUAGGGUUGUGCUGAUGGUGAUGCCAUGCCCCCACCCCACUCCCCUGCGAGUCAACAUACACCAACUCUCUUCUAUAGACUAUAGUUAACCUAAAAUCUUGGCGGGAAUUGCUCUUUACAUUCAAUUGAAAAUAUAACUAAUGCAUAUAUAUGCUGUUUUAAAUACUGUAGUCUAUGCCUGAGACGCGACGUGUGUUAGUCUGUGAAAAUAUCCUGUCAAGCUAGAUCUUGACAUUGCUAGAAUCUAGGGCUGCAGCUAUCGAUUCUUUUUGUAAUCGAUUAAUCUAGCACUGAAUCGAUCGAUUAAUCGGAUAAAAAUGUUGUGUGUGUUUUUAAACAACCAAAACAAAUAAUGCAUAACGAAAAUGACGGGGCUGUAAAAUGUUCAAGCAUUUGGCUUUUAUUUCUAAAAAAAAAAACAGGUAUUUGGCAGAAAUACAUACAUUCCUUUUCAAUAGAACGCUGCAUUUGGUUUGCAUCACUUGCAUUGCGGUGCAUUUUAGGUUAAGAAUCCGUUCGAAAAAUCA
Misgurnus anguillicaudatus (oriental weatherfish) is the source of this 3049-nucleotide non-coding RNA. Lineage: Eukaryota; Metazoa; Chordata; Actinopteri; Cypriniformes; Cobitidae. The record is from RefSeq and is a predicted model, not a curated record.